AGAAGAUUGAUAGUGUUAUUAGUGUUGUUGUUUUGCUAAUUUUUUAUAUUGUUAUCAAGAAAUGAGAAGAUUGAUAGUGUUAUUUGUGUUCUUGUUUUGCUAAAUUUUGUAUAUUGUUAUCAAGAAAUGAGAAGAUUGAUAUUGUUAUUAGUGUUCUUGUUUUGCUAAAUUUUGUAUAUUGUUAUCAAGAAAUAGGAAGGUUGAUAGUGUUAUUAGUGUUCUUAUUUUGCUUAAUUUUGUAUAUUGUUAUCAAGAAAUGAGAAGAUUGAUAGUGUUAUUAGUGUUCUUGGUUUGCUAAAUAUUGUAUAUUGUUAUCAAGAAAUGAGAAGACUGAUAGUGUUAUUAGUGUUCUUGUUUUGAUAAAUUUUGUAUAUUGUUAUCAAGAAAUGAGCAGAUUGAUAGUGUGGUUAGUGUUGUUGUUUUACUAAAUUUUGUAUAUUGUUAUCAAGAAACGAGAAGAUUGAUAGUGUUAUUAGUGUUCUUGUUUUCUAAAGCAUUUCUUGUUUUGCUAAAUUUUGUAUAUUGUUAUCAAGAAACAAGAAGAUUGAUAGUGUUAUUUGUGUGCUUGUUAUCAAGACACGUUUGACGCUGACCCUUUAGCAAAAUCUCUCAAAAAUGAAAGGCAUUGCCAUGGGGAAUUCUCCAUGGCUUCUAUUCAGUCAAAUAACGAUAUGGAAGAUCACAACCAAGUCGAUGUAAGGCAUGACGCACUGUUCGUUUGAAUUUAUGAUGGCCUCAAAGGCCACACCACCACUUCCUAUAUUCGUACGCACAUCUUUAGGACUCUAUUACGUGAGUUAUUUCUUUGCUUCUUUUUUCUUAGCAUACUUAUCUGUAUAUUAUUAUCAAGAAAUGAGAAGAUUGAUAGUGUUAUUAGUGUUCUUGUUUUGCUAAAUUUUGUAUAUUAUUAUCAAGAAAUGAGAAGAUUGAUAGUGUUAUUAGUGUUCUUGUUUUGCUAAAUUUUGUAUACUUGUUAGCAACGAAAACGUUUGACGCUGACCCUUUAGCUAAAAUCUCUUCAAAAAUGAAAGGCAGCCAUGGGAAUUCUCCUAUGGCUUUCUAUUCAGUCAAAUAAGAAUAGGCGAAGAUCACAAACCAAAGUCGAUGUAAAGUCCCAUGACGCACUGUUCAAUUUGAAUUUUAUGAUGCUGUCAAAGGCCCACACCACUAGCUUCCUAUAUUUGUACGACAUCUUUAGGACUCUAUUGACGUGAGUUAUUGUUCUUUGCUUAUUUUUUCUACAAUACUAUCUGUAUAUUGUUAUGCAAGACUGAGAAAUGAUAGUGUUGAUUAGUGUUCUUCGUUUUGCUAAAUUUGUAUAUUAUUAUCAAAGAAAUGAGAGAUUGGAAUAGUGUGUAUUAGUGUUCCUGUUUUGCUAAAUUUGUAUAUGUUAUCAAGACAUGGAGAAGAGUAAUAGUGUUAUUAGUGUCUGUUGUUUGGAUAAAUUUGUAUCUUUGUUUCAAGAAAUGAAGAAGAUUGAUAGUGUGUAUAGUGUGGUUGUUUACUAAAUUUUGUAUAUUGGUUUAUCAAGAAACGAGAAGAUUUAUAGUGUUAUUAGUGUUCUGUUUGCAAAAUUUGUAUAUUGUUACAAGGAAAUUGAGAAGAUGAUAGUGUUAUUUCAGUGUUCUUGUUUUGCUAAUUAUGUAUAUUGUUAUCAAGAAAUGAGAAAGAAUCGAUAUUGUUAUUAGUGUUCUUGUUUGCUAAAUUUUGUUAUUGUUAAUCAAGAAACGAAAAAAGAUUGAUUGUGUUUUUAGUGUUUAUGUUUUGCUAAAUUUUGUAUAUUAUUGACAAGAAAUAAAAAUUGAUAUGGUCAGUAGUGUUCUGUUUGGCAUAAAUUGUUGUAUAUUGAUAUCAAUAAAUGAGAAGAUUAUUAGUGUUUAUAGUUUCUUGUUUGCUACAAUUUUUAUAUUGUAUCAAGAAAUGAGGAAGAUUAGAUUAGUGUUAUUAGUCUUCUUGUUUUGCUAAUUUUGUAUAUUGUAUCAAGAAAUAAAAGAUUGAUAGUGUUAUUAGUAUUCUUUGUUAUCAAGAAACGUUUGACGCUGACCCUUUAGCAAAAUAUCUCUCCAAAAUGAAAGCGAUUGCAUCGGGGAAUUCUCCAGUGGCUUCUGUUCAGUCAAAAAAGGAUUAUGGAAGACUUCAACAACCAAGUCGAUUAAAGUCAUGACGCACUGUUCUUUUGAAUUUCAUGAUGGCUUCAACAGGCCACACCACUGCUUCCUAUAUUCGUACGCACUAUCUUUAGACUCUUUACGUGCAGUGUUAUUUCUUUGCUUCUUUUUUCUACUUACUAUCUUGAAUGUUCAAAUGAAGAUUCUAGUAUCUGAAUGUUCUGAUAUAUUGUUAUCAAAGAAAAUGAGAAAGAUGCGAUAGUGUGUAUUGGUGCUUGUUGUUUUGCUAAAAUUUUGUAUAUUGUAUCAAGCGAAAUGAGAAGAUUGAUAGUGGUUAUUAGUGUGCUUGUUUUGCUAAAUUUUGAUAUAUAUGUCUAUGAAAAUGCAAGAUGUAAGUUUGUUUGUAUUUUGUAUUAUUCGAAGAGGGUUGAUAGUGUUAUUAGUCGUUCUUGCUUUUGCUAAUUUUGUAAUAUUGGUUAUCAAGAAAAGAGAGGAGUUGAUAGUGUUAUUAGUGUGCUUUUUAUCAAGAAACAUUGGAGCUUGACCCUUUAGCAAUUCUCAAUAAACUCCAGGAAUUCCCAUGGCUCUUUAAAAAUGAAUGUCAAACAAUCAUUAAGAUGACACGUCGGAUUUGCCUUAAGCCAAACUGUUCAUAUGGCGCAACAUUUUGACUUUUAAGAUUCCUCUCUUUAGUAUACUGACGUCAAUAAGUUGGAUGUUAGCUUUUCGCUAAUUUAUAUUCAAAAUUAAGGUAUAUCGCCUGUGUAAAUGUAUUUAUCAAGAUGGAAAGAAUUUAUGUUGCUGUUGGAAAUUUGUUUGCUUUAAGAAUAAUGUGUAUAGUAAGUUCAUGUUACUGCAUUUCUUGAAUUUUCAUCAAAGUAUGAGCUUAAAGCAUACCAUGUUAUUAGUGUUCUGUUUUCCUAAUUAUGUAUACUUGUUUUCAAGAAGAAUGAGAAGAUUGAUAUUAUGUAUAGUUUUUUGUUUGCAAAUUUUGUAGAUUUUAUCAAGAACAGAGAGAUAUUGUGUUAUUAGGGUGUUCUUGGUUUGCUAAAUUUUGAUAUUGUUAUCAAGAAAGAGAAGAUUGAUAGGUUAAUUAGGUUCUUGUUUUGCUAAUUUUGGAUAUUGUUAUCAAGAAAUGAGAAGAUGAUAGUGUGUUUUAGUGUUUCUUGUUUUGCUAAAUUUGUAUAUUGUUAUCAAGAAAUGAGAAGAUGAUAGUGUUAUUAGUUCUUCUUUUUGCUAAAUUUUGUAUAUUAUUAUCAAGAAUAUGAGAAGAGUUGAUAGUGUUAUAGUGUUCUGUGUUUGCUGAAAUAUGUAUAUUGUUAUCCAAGAAAUGAGAAGAUUGAUAGUGUUAUGUAGUGUUUUGUUAUCAGAAACGUUUGACGCUGACCCUUUACGCAAGAUCUCUCUAAAUGAAAGGCAUUUGCAUUGGGAAUUCUCCAAUGGCUUCUGUUUCAGUCAAAUUAAGGAUAUGAAGAUCACAACCAAGACAAUGUAAGUCAUGACCGACUGUUCGUUUGAAUUUAUGAUGGCUUCAAAGCCACACCACUGCUUUUGCUAAAUUUUGUAUAUUGUUAUUCAAGAAAUGAGAAGAUUGAUAGGGCUUAGUGUUCUUGUGUUUUGUAAAUUUUUUAUAUAUGUUAUAAGAAACGAGAAGAUUGAUAGUUGUUUUAGUGUCUUUGUUUUCGCUAAAUUUUGUUAUAUUGUUAUCCAAUUAAAUGAGAGAUUGAUAGUGUUAUUAUGUGUUCUUUUUUGCCUAAAUUUUGUUAUUUUAUCAAGAAUGAGAAGAUUGAUAGUGUUAUUAGUGUUCUUGUUUUCCUAAAUUUUGUAUAUUGUUAUCAAGAAAUGAGAGAUUGUGUGUUGAUUAGUGUUCUUGUUUGUAAUUUUGUUAUAUUGUUAUCAAGGAAAUGAGAAGAUUGAGAGUGUUGUUAGUGUUUCUUGUUUGCUAAAUUUUGUAUAUAUAAAAAUGAGAAAUUGUAGUUUAUUGUGUUCUUGUUACAAGAAAUGUUUGACGCUGACCCUUUUAGCAAAACUCUCUAAAAUGAAAGGCUGCCAUGGGGGUUCUCCAUGGCUUCUGUUCAGUCAAAUAAGGAUAUGGAGAUCCAACCAAGUUCGGAUGUAAGUCAUGACGCACUGUUCGUUUGGAAUUUAAUGAUGGUUCAAAGGCCCCACCACCCUUCCUAUAUCCGUACGCGCAUCUUUAGGAACGUUAUUACGUGAGUUUCUUUGCUUCUUUUUACUUAGCAUACUUAUCGUAUAUUGUUAUCAGAAAAUGAGAAGAUUGAUAGUGUUAUUAGUGUUCUUGUUUUGCUUAAAUUUUGUAUAUUAUUAUCAAGAAAUGAGAAGAUUAUAGUGUUAUUAGUGUGUUGUUUGCUAAAUGUGUAUAUUGUUAUCAGAAAUGAGAGAUUGAUAGUGUUAUAGUGUUUUUUUCCGUGUUUUGCUAAAUUUUUGUUAUUGUUAUCAGAAAUGAGAAGAUUGAAUAGUGUAUAUUAGUGUUUUGUUUUGCUAAUUUUGAUAUUGUUAUAAGAAAUGAAGAUCGAUAGUCGUUUAUUUAGUGUUUCUUGUUUUUGCUAAAUUUUGUAUAUUGUUAUCAAGAAAUGAGAAGAUGAUGUGUUAUUAGUGUUCUUGUUUUGCUAAUUUUGUAUUUGUUAUCAAGAAAAUUGAAAUUUGAUAGUGUUAUUAGUGUUAUUGUUAUCAGAAUGUUUGACGUGACGUUUAGCAAAAACUCUCAAAAUGAAAGCAUUGCCAUGGGAAUUCUCAUGGCUCUUUCUCAGUCAAUAAGGAAUAUGGAAGUCACAACCAUGUCGCAUGCUAAGUCAUGACGCACUGUCCGUUUGAUUUAUGAUGGCUUUAAGCCCACACGCACUGCUUCCUAUAUGUACACCAUCUUAUUAGGACUCUAUACGUGAUUAUUUCUUUGCUUCUUUUUUCUUAGCAUACUAAUCUGUUAUUGUUAUCAAGAAAUAAGAAUAUUGAUAGUGUUAUUAGUGUUCUUAGUUUUGCUAAAUUUGAAUAUUUGUUAUCAAGAAAUAGAGAUGAUAGUGUUAUUAGGUUUUCUUUUGAUAUAAUUUUGUAUUUGUUAUCAAGAAUGAGAAGAUUGAUAGUGUUAUUAGUGUUCUUGUUUUUUUGUAAUUUUUGUAUAUUGUUAUCAAGAAACGACGAGAUUGAUAGUGUUAUUAGUUCUGUGUUUUGCUAAAUUUUGUAUAUUGUCAAGAAAUGAGACAGAUUGAUUAGUGUUAUUAGUGUUCUUUUUUGCAAAUUUUGUAUGAUUGUUAUCAUAAAAUUUGAAAGUAUUAGUGUUAUUAGUGUUAUAUUGUUAUCAAGAAAUGUUUGACGCUGACCCUUUAGCAAAAACUCUCAAAAAAUGAAGGCAUUGCCAUGGGGGAAUUCUCCAUGUCUUCUGUUUCAGUAAAUAAGGGAUAUUUGGAAGAUUUCACAACCAAGCCGAUGUAGUCAUGACGAUUGAUAGUUUUUAUUAGUGUGUUUUUUGUUUUACUUAAAUUUUGUUUAUUUUGUAUCAAGAUAAUGAGAAGAUUGAUGGUGGUAUUAGCUGUUCUUUUUUGCUAAAUUUGUAUAUUGUAUCAAGAAAUGAGUAAGAUUGAUAGUGUUAUUAGUGUUCUUGUUUUGUUGCUACAAUCUUUUGUAUAUUGUUAUCAAGAAAUGAGAGAUUUGAUAGUGUUAUUUGUUUCUUGUUUUUCAAAUUUGUAAUUGUAUUCAAGAUAAUGAGAAGGUUGAUAGUGUUAUUAGUGUUCUUGUUUUGCUUAAAUUUGUUUAUAUUUAUCCAAUUAAAUGAGAAGAUUGAUAGUGUUAUUAGUGUCCUAUUAUCAAGAAACGUUGACGCUGGAUCUCCUUUAGAAAAAUCUCUCAAAAAAUGAAAGGCAUUUGCUCAUAGGAAUUCUCCAUGGCUUCUUUAAGUCAAAUAAGGGAGUUAUGGAAGAUCACAACCAAGUCGAUGUAAAGGCAUGAUCGCUCUUUGUUCGUUUGAAUUUAUGAUGGCUUCAAAUGGCGGCCACCCAUUUCUACUUCUUAUAAUUCGUAGACACAUCUUAGGUACUCUAAUUACGUGAGUUAUUUCUUUGCUUCUUUUUUCUUAGCAUACUAAUAUGUAUAUCUGUUAUCAAGAAUGAGAAGAUUGAUCCAUUGUGUUAUUAGUUGUUCUUGUUUUGCUUAAUUUUGUAUUAUUUGUUAUAAGAAAUGAGAGAUUGAUAGUGUUAUUAGUGUUCUUGAUUUUGCUACAAUUUUUAUAUUUGUUAUCAGAAAUGAGAGAUUAUAGUGUGAUUAGUGUUCUUGUUUUGCUAAAUUUUGUAUAUUAUUCAAGAAAUGAGAACAGAAAUUGAUAAUGUAUUAGUGUUCUUGUGUUGUUUAAAUUUUGUUAGUAUUGUUUAUCAAAACUGAAGUAAGAUUGAUAGUGUUAUUUAGUGUUCUUUGGGCUAAAUUUGUAUUUGAUAUUCAAGAAAUGGAGAAAUGAUAGUUUUUAGGGUUCUUGUUUUGCUAAAUUUUGUAUAUUGUUAUCAAGAAAUGAGAAGGAUUAUAGUUGUUAUUUGUGUCUUGUUUUUGCUAAAUUUGUAAUUAUUGUUAUCCAAGAAUGAGAAGAUUGAUAGUUAGUGUUAUUAGUGUUCUUGUUUUGCUAAAUUUUGUUAUAUUGUUAUUCUAAGAAAUAGGAAGGUUGAUAUUGUUAUUGUGUUUUGUUUUGUUAAAUUUUGUAUAUUGUUAUCAAGAAUGAGAGAUUGAUAGUGUUAUUGUGUUCUUGUUUUACUAAAAUUUAUAUAUUUAUCAAUUAAACAGAAAGAUUGUAGUUUAUUAGUGUUCGUGUUUUUUGAUUGUAUCAUAGAAGUUGUAGGUUAUUAGUGUUUGUUGUAUUAUCAUUGUUACAGAAAUGAGAAGAUUGAUAGUUUAUUAGUUGUUCUGGUUUUGACUAAGUUGUAUAUACAAAUAGUUGAUAUUUGUUCUAUGGCAAUGAUUUGUUAGAAUGAGUUGAUGAUAAUGGUGUGACGUGUUGUGUUUUUGCUAAUAAUUUUUUGUUAUCAAGAAACGAGAGAUUGAAGUGUAUUGUGUCUUGUUUUGUAAAUUGUUAUAAUUGUUAUCAAGAAGAGAAGAUUGAUAUUGUUAUUAGUGUUCUGUGUUUGCUAAAUUUUGUAUAUGUUAUCAAGAAAGACGAAGAUUGAAGUGUUAUUAGUGUUCUUUGUUGCUAACUUUUGUAAUAUGUUAUCAGAAAGAGAAGAUGGUAGGUUAUUAGUGUUCUUGUUUUGCUAAAUUUUGGUAUAUGUGUUAUGCAGAAAUAGGAGGUGAUAUGUUAUUAGUGUCUUGCUUGUUUUCCUAAAUUUUGAUAUUGUUAUAAUAGGAUGUUAGCUUGUUUUCGUGUGUACAAGAAAUGAGAAGAUGAUUAGAUGUUUUAGUGUUUUUGUUCUGCUAAUUUUGUAAUAUUGUUUACAAGAAAUAGAAGAUUGUAGUGUUUAUUGUGUUCUAUUUUUGCUAAAUUUUUUAUAUUGUAUCAUGAGAUGUGUUUUACUAUUCUAAUGAAUUAUAGAACAGAGCAGAUGAAGUUUCUGUCUUGUUUUGCAAUUUUGUCAUAUUGUGUAUAGCAGAAGGAGAUGAUCAUGUUUCAUUAGUGUUCUUGUUUUGCUAAAUUUGGAUCUUUUCAAGAAAUAGACGAUUGAAUAGUGUGAUUAGUGUUCUGCUUUUGCUAAAUUUGUAAUAUUGUUAUCCAGAAAUGAGAAGAUUGAUAUGUAUUAGUGUCUUUUUUGCUAAAUUUUGUAUAUCGUUAUCAAAUAAAUGAGAAGAUUGAUAGUGUUAUUAGUGUUCUUGUUUGCAAAUUUUGUAUAUUGACUAUCACGAAAUGGAGAAGUGAUAGGUAUUAGUGUUGUUUGCUAAAUUUUGUAUAUUGGUUACAAGAAAUGAGGAGAAUUGAUUAGUGUAUUUGUGUUCUGUUUUGGCUAAAUUUUAUUUGUUAUCAAGAUAUCAAAGAUUGAUAGUGUAUUAGUGUCUUGUUUGCUAAAUUGUAAUAUGCUUAUCAGAGAUGAGAGAAGUGAUAAGUGCGUUAAUUAGUCUUUGUUGUUUAAAUUUAUAAUUGUUAUAAGAAAGAAGAAGAUUGAUAGGUUAUUGUGUUUUCUGCUGUUUUCUAAAUUUCUGUGUAUAUAUGUUAUCAGAAAUGGAGAAGAUUGAUAGUGUUAUUAGGUUCUUGUUUCCUAAAUAUUUUGUUUUGUUAUCCAGAAUUGAGAAGAUUAGAUAGUGUUAUUAGUGUUUUGUUUUGUAUUUGUUAUAUUGUUAUCAAGAAAUGGAAGUAUUGAUAGUGUUUAUUAUUGUUCUUUUUGUAAUUUUUAUUGUUAUCAAGAAUGAGAAGAUGAUAGUGUUAUUAGUGUUCUGUUUUGCUAUUUGUAUAUUGUUAUAAUGAACAUGAGAAGAUAUGAUAGUGGUUAUUUAGUGUUCUUGUUUUUGUCCUAAUUUGUAUAGUUGUUAUCAGAAAUGAGAAGAUUGUUUGAUAGUGUUAUUAGUGUUCUUGUUUUGCUAAAUUUGUAUAUUGUUAUCACGAAAUUUGAAACAUUGUUAGUGUUAUAUAGUGUUUAUUGUAUCAGAAAUGUUUUGGCUGACUAUUAAAAUUCAUAAUGAAAUGGACCACUGCCAUGUGGAUUGCCUACUGUUCUUGUCUUCGUGCUAAAUUGAAUAGAUUACAACCAAUGAGAAGAUUGACGCACUGUUCUGAAUUAGUGUUAAACCCCAUUGCUUUACUAUUCGAGCCAUUGUAUAGUCUCUAUUAAGACGUUGAGAAGUAUUGAUAGUUGCUUCUUUAUACCAAUAUUGUGGCAAGCAUGAGGUUGAUCUUUUUUGGUUUUUUGCUAAUUUUGAUUAUUGUUAUCAAGAAUGAGAAGAUGGUAGUGUUAUUAGUGUUCUUGUUUUUGCUAAUUUGUUAUUGUUAUCAGGAAUUGAAGAUUGUAGUUAUUAGUGUUCUUGUUUUGCCUAAAAUUUUGUUAUGUAUUUUCAAGAAUUUGGAAGAUUGCAUAGUGUUAUUAGUGUUCUUGUUUUGCUAAAUUUUGUAUAUAUGUUUAUUCAAGAAAUGAAAGAUUGAUAAGUGCUUUUAGUGUUUCUUGUUUCUAAAUUUUGUAUAUUGUUUAUCAAGAAAUGAGAGAUUGAUGUGUUAUUAGUGUUCUUGUUUUGCUAAAUUUGUUAUUGUUAUCAAGAAAUGAGAGAUUGAUAGUGUUUAGUUUUUGUUUUGCUAAAUUUUGUAUAUUGUUAUCAAGAAAGAGAAGUUGAUAGUGUAUUAGUGUUUUUGUUUUAAAUUUUGUAUAUUGUUAUCAAAAAAUGAGAAGAUUGAUAGUGUUUUUAGUGUUCUUGUUUUGCUAAAUUUUGUAUAUUGUUAUCAAAGAAAUGAGAAGAUUGAUAGUGUUAUUAGUGUUCUUGUUUUGCUAAAUUUUGUAUUAUGUUAUCAGAAAUGAAAGAUUGAUAUGUUAUUAGUUUCUUGUUUGCUAAAUUUUGUAUAUUGUUAUCAAAAAUGAGAAGAUGUAGUGUUAUUAGUGUUCUUGUUUUUGCUAAAUUUGUAUAUUGUUAUCAAGAAAGAGAAGAUUGAUAGUGUUAUUAGUGUUCUUGUUUUGCUAAAUUUGUAUAUUGUAUCAAGAAAUGAGAAGAUUGAUAGUGUUAUUAGUGUUCUUGUUUUGUAAAUUUGUAUAUUGUUAUCAAGAAAUAAAGAUUGAAUGUUUAUUAUUUCUCUUUUGCUAAAUUUUGUAUAUGUUAUCAAGAAAUGAGAAGAUUGAUAGUGUUAUUAGUGUUCUUGUUUUGCUAAAUUUGUAUAUUGUUAUCAAGAAAUGAGAAGAUUGAUAGUGUUUUAGUGUUCUUGUUUUGCUAAUUUUGUAUAUUGUUAUCAAGAAUGAGAAGAUUGAUAGUGUUAUUAGUGUUCUUGUUUUGCUGCUAAAUUUUGUAUAUUNNNNNNNNAGAGAGACUCGUUUUGCUAUAUUUUGUAUAUUGUUUAUCAAAUGCAAAUAAGGAGACUUGAUAGUUUAUUAGUUGUAAUUUUGGCCAAAUUUUUCGUAUAAUUUUUUAUCAAGCCCACAGUGAGAAGAUUGUUAUGUGUAUGAUUGUUUCUUUUUUGCUAAAUUUUGUAUAUGUGUAUCAAGGAAAACUGAUGAAGAUUGAUAGUGUUUUAUUAGUGUUCUCUUUGUUUUCACUAAAUUUUGUAUAUGUUAUCCCAGAAAUGAGAAGAUUGAUAGUAGUUAUCUUGUGUUCUUGUUUUGCAAUCCUGCAUUUGUUAUCAAAGAAUGAGAAGCUUGAUAGUGUUAAUUUAGUCGUUCUUGCUCUGCUAAAUUUGUAUAUUAUUUACUCAAGGACCAUGAGAAGGCUUAAUAUGUUAUUGGCAAGUGGUUCUUAGUUUUGCUAAAUAUUGUAUACGUGUUAUCAGAAAUGAGAAGAUUUGAUAGUGUUCUUAGUGUUUUGUUUGCUAAUUUACUGUACUAUUUGUUAUCAAGAAAUGACGAAGAUUGUAUUGUUCAUUAGUGUUCUUGUUUUGCUAAAUUUUGCUAUUUGUUAUAAGACAAGAGAAGAUUGAUAGUGUUUUGUAUUCAGUGUUCUUGUUUUGCAAAUUUGUAUACUUGUUAUCAAGAGAAGUGAGAAGAUGUUCGUGGGUCUAUUAGUGGUUGCUUGUUUGCUAAAUUUUGUUAAUUGUUAUCAAAGAAAUGAAAAUGGAUUGAUUAGUGUUAUUCGUGUUCUUGUUUGCUGAAAUUUGUAUAUCUGUUGUCAAGAAAAUUAGAAUUAUUGAAAAGUGUUAUUAGUGUUCUUGUUUUGCUAAAUUUUGUAUAUUGUUAUCACACAGACUAAGAGAAAUUGAUCCCAGUGCUUAUUAGUGUUUCUUGUUUUUUUAAUAUUCUGUAUUUGGUUAUCAAGAAAUGAGAAGAUGUGAAAGUUAGUUAAUUCUAGUCUGCCAUUCGUCUUUUGCUAAAUUUUUGGUAAUGUUAUGCGGAGAAAUGAGCAGAUUAGGGAUAUCUACUUCAUUAAGUGUUCUUUGUUUUGCUGAACUUGUAUAUUUUAUCAUAGAAUCAGCAACGAUGAUAGUGUUAUUAGUGUUCUUUUUUUCUAAAUUUUGGUAUAUUUUUAUCAGAAAUGAGAAGAUUGAUAGUGUUAUAAUAUUCUUGUUUUGCAUAAAUUUUGUUAUAUUAAUUUAUCAAGACAUCAGAGAUUGAUGUCAGUUCAAUUCAGUGUUCUGGUGUCUGUACGUAAAUUUUAUAUUGUUAUCAAGAAAUCAGACACGCAUUGAAGUGUUCCACUUACUGUUCUUGUUUUGCAUAAAUUUUGUAUAACUUCGUGUGAUCCUAACGAAAUGCAGUAGACUUGAUAGUGGUUAUUUAGUGUCUUGUUUUGUUCAUCAAUUGUUGUUUAUUGCUGGUUUAGGCAAAGAAUUUGAGAACGACAUUGAGAGUGUUGAUUCUCUUAGUGUCUGGGGUUUUGCAUAAAGGUUGGAUAUGUAUAUUGUUCGCUCAUAUCAAGAAUGGAAGAGCCGAGGAGUAGUUCAUCUAAGUUCGAUCGCCAAUUGCGUUGGCACUAGAGACUUAGGUGUAUAUGGUUGCAGACUCAACGCAGAUUAAAGACUUGGAUAACUGUUUAUUAGUGUUCCUUGAGAUAUCUGCAAAGUCUAUAAAUUUUGUUAUUUGCAAUAUAAGAAAUGAGAAGAUUGAUAGGUUAUUAGUUUUCUGUUUUGCUAAAUUUUUGUAUAUUUUAUCAAAAUGAGAAGAUGUAGUGUUUAUAGUGUUCUUGUGUUGCUAAAUUUGUAUAUUGUUAUCAAGAAAUGAGAAGAUUGAAUAGUGUUAUUAGUGUUCUUGUUUGCUAAAUUUUGUAUAUUGUUAUCGAAGAAAUGAGAAGAUUGAUAGUGUUAUAGUGUUCUUGUUUUGCUAAAUUUUGUAUAUUGUUAUCAAGAAUGAGAAGAUGAUAGUGUUUAUUAGUGUUCUUUUUUGCUAAUUUUGUAUAUUUUUAUCAAGAAAUGAGAAGAUUGAUAGUGUUAUUAUGUUCUUGUUUGCUAAAUUUGUAUUAUUAUUAUCAAGAAAUGAGAAGAUUGUAGUGUUAUUAGUGUUCUGUUCUAAAUUUUGUAUAUUGUUAUCAAGACAAUGAGAAGAUUGAUAGUGUUAUUAGUGUUCUUGUUUUGGCAAAAUUUUGUAUAUUGUUAUCAGAAAUGAGGAUUGAUAGUGUUAUUAGUGUUCUUGCUUUUUGCUAAAUUUUGUAUAUUGUUAUCAAAGAAAUGAGAAGAUUGAUAGUGUUAUUAGGUCUUGUUUUGCUAAAUUUUGUAUAUUGUUAUCAAGAAAUGAGAAGAUUGAUAGUGUUAUUAGUGUUCUUGUUUUGCUAAAUUUUGUAUAUUGUUAUCAAGAAAUGAGAGAUUGAUAGUUAUUAGUGUUCUUGUUUUGCUAAAUUUUUAUAUUGUUAUAAAGAAAUGAAGAAGAUUGAUAGUGUUAUUAGUUCUUGUUUUGCUAAAUUUUGUAUAUUGUUUAUCAGAAAUGAGAGAUUGAUAGUGUUAUUAGUUUUCUGUUUGCUAAAUUUGUAUAUGUUAUCAAGAAAUGAGAAGAUGAUAGUGUUAUGUAGUUUCUUGUUUUGCUAAUUUUGUAUAUUGUUAUCAAGAAAUGAGAGAUUGGAUAGUUUUUAUUAGUGUUCUUGUUUUGCUAAAUUUGUAUAUUGUUAUCAAGAAAAUGAGAAGAUUGAUAGUGUUAUUAGUGUUCUUGUUUUGCUAAAUUUUGUAUAUUUGUUAUCAAGAAAUGAGAAGAUUGAUAGUGUUAUUGUUCUGUUUUGCUAAAUUUUGUAUAUGUUAGUCAGAAAUUGAGAAGAUUGAUAGUGUUAUUAGUGUUCCUUGUUUUGCUAAAUUUGUAUUUGUUUAUCAAGAAAUGAGAAGAUUGAUAGUGUUAUUAGUGUUCUGUUUUGCUAAAUAUUUGUAUAUUGUAUCUAAGAAAUGAGAAGAUUGAUAGUGUAUUAGUGUCUUGUUUUGCUAAAUUUUGUAUAUUGUUAUCAAAAUGAGAAGGUUGAUAGUGUUAUUAGUGUUCUGUUUUGCUAAAUUUGUAUAUUGUUAUCAAGAAAUGAGAAGAUUGAUGUGUUAUUAGUGUUCUUGUUUGCUAAUUAUGUAUAUGUUAUCAGAAUGUUAUGUUUUAUGCUUGUUGUAAAUUGAUAUGAUCAGAAGAGAAGUUGAUAGUUUAUAGUUCGUCUGUUUGCUAUUUUGUAUAUGUUAUCUAGAAAUGAGAAUGAUUGAUAGUUUAUUAGUCCUUGUUUGCUAAAUAUUGGUAUAUUGUUACAGAAAUGAAAGAUUGAAUGUUAUUAGUGUUCUUGUUUGCUAAAUAGUGUAUAUUUAUCAAGAAAUGAGAAGAUUGAUAGUGUUAUUAGUGUUUUGUUUGCUAAAUUUUGUAUAUUGUUAUCAAAAGAAUGAGAAGAUUGAUGUGUAUUAGUGUUCUUGUUUGCUAAAUUGUAUUGUUAUAAAUGAAAAUUGAAGUGUAUUAGUGUUCUUGUUUGCUAAAUUUUUGUUAUAUUGUUAUCAAGAAAUGAGAAGAUUGAUAGUGUUAUUGUGUUACUUGUUUUGCUAAAUUUUGUAUAUUGUUAUCAAGAAAUGAGAAGAUUGAAGUGUUAUUAGUGUUCUUGUUUUGCUAAUUUUGUAUAUUGUUAUCAAGAAAUGAGAAGAUGAUAGUGUUAUAAGUGUUCUUGUUUUUGCUAAAUUUGUAUAUUGUUGUCAAGAAAUCAGAAGAUGAACGAUGUUUAUUAGUGGUUCUUGUUUGCUAAAUUUUUUAUAUUGUUAUCAAGAAAUGAAGAAGACUCUGAUAGUAGUUAUUAGUCCGUUCUUGUUUUGCUAAAUGUUUUGUAUAUUUUAUCAAACAGAAUGAGAAGAGUUGAAAUAGUGUUAUUAGUGUUCUUUUUUGUAAAUUUGUAUAUUGUUAUCAAGAAAUGAGAAGAUUGAUAGUGUUAUUAGUGUUCUUGUUUUGCUAAAUUUUGUAUAUUGUUAUCAAGAAAUGAGAAGAUUGAUAGUUGGUAUAUAGUGUUCUUGUUUUCUCCAAAAUUUUUGUAUACUUGUUAUCAAGAAAUGAGAAGAUUGAUAGUGUUUUAUACUGUUCUUGUUUGGGGCGAAUUUUGUAUAUUGUGUAUCACAAGAAAUGAGUAAGAUUGAUUAGUGUUAUUAGGUUUUCUUGUUUUGGCUAAUAUUUGUUUAUUGUGUAUCAAGAAAUUGAGAAGAUUGAUAGUGUUAUUAGUGGUUUUGUUUUGCUAAAUUUUGUAUAUUGUUAUCAAAGAAUGAAGAGAUUGAUGUGUUAUUAGUGUUUGUUUUGCAAAGUUUGUAAUUUUUAUCAAAAAUGAGAAGAUCUGAGUAGGGUUAUAUGUCUUGUUUUGCUAAGUUCUAUAGUAUUGUUAGUCAAAGAAAUGAGAAGAUGAAUAGGGUUAUUAGUAUUCUGUUUUUGCUAAAUUGUAUAUUGUUAUUAGAAAUGAGAAUGAACUAGUGUUAAUUUGUCUUGUUUUGCUAAAUUUUGUAUAUGUUAUCAAGAAAUGAGAAGAUUGAUAGUGUUUAUAGUGUUCUUGUUUUGCAAAUUUGUAUAUUGUUAUCAGAAUGAGAAAUUGAUAGUGUUAUUAGUGUUUGUUUUGCUAAAUUUUGUAUAUUUUAUCAAGAAAUGAGAUAGUGAAAGUGUUUUAUUUUUUUUUUGCAAAAUUUUGUAUAUUGUUAUCAAGAAUGAGAAGAUUGUAGUGGUUAUUAGUGUUCUUGUUGCUAAAUUUUGUAUAUUGUUAUCAAGAAAUGAGAAGAUUGAUAGUUUAUUAGUGUUCUUGUUUUGACCUAAAUUUUGUAAUAUUGUUAUUCAGAAAUGAGAAAUUGAUUAGUGUUAUUAGUGUUCGUUGUUUUGCUAAAUAUUGUAUAUUGUUAUCAAGAAUGAGAAAUUGAUAGUGUUAUUAGUGUUCUUGUUUUGCUAUAAUUUUGUAUAUUGUUUCAGAAUGAGAAUAGUUGAUAGUGUAUUAAUUUUGAUGUUCUUGUUGUGCUAAUAUUGUCUAUUGUUAUCAGAAAUGAGAAGCUGUAGUGUUAUUCGUGGUCUUGUUUUGCUAAUUUUGUAUAUUGUUCUAAGAAAAUGAGAAGAUUUGAUAGUUGUUUAUUAGUUGUUCUUUUUUGCUAAAUUUUGUAUUGUUAUCAGAAAUGAGAAGAUUGAUAGUGUUAUUAGUGUUUGUUUUGCUAAAUUUUGUAUAUUGUUAUCAAGAAAUAGAAAUUGGUAGUGUUAUUAGUGUCUUGUUUUGCUAAAUUUUGUAUAUUGUUAUCAAGAAAUGAGAAGAUUGAUAGUGUUUAGUGUUCUUGUUUUGCUAAAUUUUGUAUAUUGUUAUAGAAAUGAAAUUGAAAGUGUUAUUAGUGUUCUUUGUUUUGUAAAUUUGUGUAUUGGUUUAUCAAGAAUAGAGAAGAUUGAUAGUGUUAGUAGUGUUCUUGUUUGCUGAAUAUUGUAUAUUGUUAUCAAGAAAUGGAGGAUUGAAAGAUGUUAUUAGGUCUGUGCUUGGUUUUGCUGAAAUUUUGUAUAUUGUUAGCAAGAAAUGAGAAGAUGAUAGUAUUCAUUAAGUGUUCUUGUUUUGCUAAAUUUGUAUAUUGUUAUCAAGAAAUGAAAGAUUGCUAGUGGUUAUUAGUGUUCGUUUUUUCUAAAAUUUUGUAUAUUUUUAUCAAGAAAUGAGAAGAUGAUAGUGUUAUUAAUGUUCUUGUUUGCUAAAUUUUGUAGUAUAAUUAUCAAGAAUAUGAGGCAAGAUUGAGUAGUGUUUAUAGUGUUUUGUUGGGUUACUAAAUUUGUUCUUGUUAAAAAAAAUAGAAGAUUGAUAGUGUUAUUACUGUUCUGUGUUUUGCAAAAUUUUGUAUAUUGUUUCAAAGAAAUGAGUAGCCUUGAUAGUGUUAUUAGUUUCUGUUUUGCUAAAUUUGUAUAUUGUUUAUCAAGAAAUGAGAAGAUUGAUAGUGUUUUAGGUGUCUUGUUUUGCUAAAUUUGUAUAUUGUUACAAGAAAUGAGAAGAUGAUAGUUUAUUUAGUGUUAUUGUUUUGCUAAAUUUGUAUAUUGUUAUCAAAGAAAAUAAGAAGAUUGAUAGUGUUAUUAGUGUUUCUUGUUUCUAAAUCUAUAUAGUUGUUAUCAAGGAAAUGAGAAAUGAUAGGGUUAUGAGUAUUGCGAGUGUUUUGCUAAUUUGUAUAUUGUAUCCCAGAAAUGAAAGAUUGAUAGUGGUUUAAUUAGUGGUUCAUUGUUUGACCCUAAUUGUGUAUUAUUGUUAUCAGAAAUGAGAGAUUGAUCGUGUUAUUAGUCCUUCUUGUUUUGCUAAAUUUUGUAUAUUGUUAUCAAGAAAUGAGAAGAUUGCAUAGUUUUUAAUUAGUGUUCUUAGUUUGCUAAAUUUUGGUAUAUGUUAUCAAGAAAUGAGAAGAAUUGAUAGUGUUAUUAGUGUAUUUUUUGCAAAAUUUGUAUAUUUUUAUCAAGAAAUGGAGAAGAUUGUUAGUGUUAUGAACUGUCCUUGGUUUUGCCUAAAUUUUGUAAUAUUGUUAUCAGGACAUGAGAAGAUUGAUAAGUGUUAUCAGUGUCUUGUUUUCCUAAAUUUGUAUAUUGUUAUCCAGGAAAUGAGAAAGAUUGAUAGUGUUAUUAGUGUUUUCUUGUUUUGCUAAAUAUUGUAUAUGUUAUCAAGAAAUGAGAAGCUUGAUAGUGUUGAUGUAGUCGUCUUGUUUUGCUAAUUGUGUAUAUUUUAUUCAAGAAAGAGAAGGUUGAUAGUGUUAUUAGUGUUCUUGUUUGUAAAUAUUGUAAUUGUGUUACGAGAAAUGAGGAAGAUUGAUAGUGUUAGUAGGUUUGUUUUGCUAAAUGUCAUGUAAAGGUUGUUAUCAAAGAAAGUGAGAAGAGAUAUUGUUAUUUAGUGUUCUUGUUUUGCUAAAGUUUUGUAUAUUGUUUAUCAGAAAUGAGAAAGAUUGAUAGUGUUAUUAGUGUUCUUGUUGCUAAAUUGUAUAUUGUUAUAAGAAAUGAAAGAUUGGGUAGUGUUCAUUAAGUUGUUCUUGUUUGCUAAAUUUUGUUUGAUUGUUAUCAAGAAAUGAGAAGAUUGAUAGGUUAUUAGUGUUCUUGUUUUGCUGAAAUUUUGUAUAUUUUGUCAAGAAAUUUAGAAUAUUGAACGUGUUAUUAGUGUUCUUGUUUUUUGCUAAAUUUUGUAUAUUGUUCUCAAGAAAAGAGAAGAUUGAUAGUGUUAUAGUGUCUUGUUUUUCUAAUAUGUUAUAAUGUUAUCAAGAAAUGAGAGAUGAAGUAUGUUAUUAGUUUUCUUGUUUUGCUAAAUUUUUGAUUGUUACAGAAUGAGAAGAUUGAAUAGUUUAUUAGUUUCUUGUUUUGGCUAAAUUUGUAUAUUGUUAUCAAGAAAUGAGAAGAUUGAUGUGUAAUAGUGUUCUUUUUUCUAAAUUUUGUAUAUUUAUCAAGAAAUGAGAAGAUUGAUAGUGUUAUUAGUGUUCUUGUUUUGUAAAUUUUGUAUAUAUUCAAGAAUGAGAAGAGUUGAUAGUGUUAUUAGUGUUCUUUGUUUUCUAAAUGUUUAUAUGUUAUCAAGAAAUGAGAAGAUUGAUAGUGUUUACUGUUCUUGUUUUGCAAUUUUGUAUAUUUGUUAUCAAGAAAUGAGAGAUUGAUAGUGUGAUUAGUGUUCUUGUUUGCUAAAUUUGUAUAAUUGUUAUCAAGAAAAUGAGAAGAUUGAUUAGUGUUAUUAGUGUUCUUGUUUUGCUAAAUUUGUAUAUUGUUAUCAAGAAAUGAGACGAUGAUAUGUUAUUAGUGUAUUAGGUUUUGCAAAUUUUUAUAUUGUAUCAAGAAAUAAGAUGAUGUGUAUUAGUGUUCUUGUUUUUGCUAAAUUUGUAUAUUGUUAUCAAAAAUGAGAAGAUUGAUAGUGUUAUUAGUUUCGUUUGCUAAAUUUUGUAUAUUGUUAUCAGAAAUGAGAAGAUUGAUAGUGUUAUUAGUGUUCUUGUUUUGCUAAAUUUUGUAUAUUGUUAUCAAGAAAAUGAGAAGAUUGAUAGUGUUAUUAGUCUUCUUGUUUUGCUAAAUUGUAUAUUAGUUAUCAAGAAAUGAGAAAUUGAUAUAGUUUUAUAGUGUCUUUGUUUGCUAAAUUUUGUAUAUUGUUAUCAAGAAUGAGAAGGAUUGAUAUAGUUUAUUAGUGUUUAUGUUUUGCAUAAAUUUGUAUUGUUAUCAAGAACUGAGUAAGAUGAUAGGUUAUGAUUUGUUCUUAGUUUGCUCUAACAUUUUGUAUAUGUUAUCAAAGAAAUGGAAGAUUGAUAGUGUUAUUAGUGUUCUUGUUUGCUAAAUUUUGUAUAUUGUUAUUCAAAGAAAUGAGAACGAUCUGAUAGUGUAUAUUACGGUUCGGGUGUGUUUUGCUAAUAUUGUAUAUUGUUAUCAAGAAAUGAGUAGAUUGAUAGUGUUAUUAGUUUCUUGUUUGCUAAAAUUUGUAAUAUUGUUAUCAAGAAAUGAGAAGAUUGAUAGUUUAUUAGUGUUUUUUUUUCUAAAUUUUGUAUUUUUUUCAAGAAAUGAGAAGUUGAUAGUGUAUUAGUGUUCGUUGUUUGCUAAAUUUGUAUAUUGUUAUCAAAAAUGAGAAGAUUGAUAGUGUUAUUAGUUUCUUGUUUUGCUAAAUUUUGUAUAUUGUUAUCAAGAAAUAGAAAAUUGAUAGUGUUAUUAGUGUUCUUUUUGCUAAAUUUUGUAUUGUUAUAAGAAAUGAGAAGUUGAUAGUGUUAUGAGUCGUCUGUUUGCUAAAUUUUGUAUAUGUUAUCAGAAAAGAAGUUGAUAGUGUUUAGUGUCUUGUUUGCUAAUUAUUGUAUAUUUAUCAAGAAAUGAGAAGAUUGAUAGUGUUAUUAGUGUUCUUGUUUUGCUAAAUUUGUAUAUUGUUAAUCAAAAAUGAGAAGAUUGAUAUUGUUUAGUGUUUCUUGUUUGCUAAUUUUGUAUAUUGUUAUCAAGAAAUGAGAAGAUUGAAGUGUUAUUAGUGUUCUUUGUUUUGCCUAAAUUUUGUAUAUUGUUAUCAAGAAAUGAGAAGAUUGUAGUGUUAUUAGUGUCUUGUUUUGCUAAAUUUUGUAUAUUGUUAUCAAGAAAUGAGAAGAUUGAUAGUGUAUUAGUGUCUUGUUGCUAAAUUUUGUAUAUUGUUAUCAAGAAAUAGAGAUUGAUAGUGUUAUUAGUGUUCUUGUUUUGCUAAAUUUGUAUAUUGUUAUCAAGAAAUGAGAAGAUUGAUAGUGUUAUUAGUGUUCUUGUUUUGCUAAUUUUGUAAUUGUUAUCAAGAAAUGAGAAGAUUGAUAGUGUAUUAGUGUUCUUGUUUUGCUAAAUUUUGUAUAUUGUUAUCAAGAAAUGAGAAGUUGAUAGUGUUAUUAGUGUUCUUGUUUUGCUAAUAUUUGUAUAUGUUAUCAAGAAAUGAGAAGAUUGAUAGUGUUAUUAGUGUUCUUUUUGCUAAUUUGUAUAUGUUAUCAAGAAAUGAGAAGAUUGAUAGUGUUAUUAUGUUCUUUUUGCUAAAUUUUGUAUAUUGUCUAUCAAGAAAUGAGAAGAUAAUAGUGUAUUAGUGUUCUGUUUUGCUAAUUUUUGUAAAUUUAUUAUCAAGAAUGAGAAGAUUGAUAGUGUUAUAGUGUUCUUGUUUUGCUAAAUUUGUAUAUUGUUAUCAAGAAAUGAGAAGAUUGAUAGUGUUAUUUGUGUUUGUUUGCUAAAUUUUGUAUAUUGUUAUCAAGAAAUGAGAAGUUGAUAGUGUUAUUAGUGUUCUUGUUUGCUAAAGUUUGUAUAUUGUAAUCAAGAAAUGGAGAAGAUUGAUAGUUUAUUAGUGUUCUUGUUUUGUAAUUUUGUAUUUGUUAUCAAGAAUGAGAAGAUUGAUGUGUUAUUAUGUUCUUGUUUUGCUAAUUUUGUAUAUUGUUAUCAAGAAAUGAAGAAGAUUGAUAGUGUUAUUAUGUUCUUGUUUGCUAAUUUUUUAUAUUGUUAUCAAGAAAUGAGAAAUGAUAGUGUUAUUAGUGUUCUGUUUGCUAAAUUUGUAUAUUGUUAUCAAGAAAUAGAAUAUUAGUGUUAUUAGUGUCUUUGUUUUUGCUAAAUUUUGUUAUAUUGUUAUCAGAAAUGAGAAGAUUGAUUGUUAUUAGUGUUCUUGUUUUGCUAAAUUUGUAUAUUGUUAUCAAGAAAUUGAGAGAUUGAUAGUGUUAUUAGUGUUUUUGUUUUGCUAAAUUUUGUAUUUGUUAUCAAGAAUGAGAAGAUUGAUAGUGUUAUUAGUGUUCUUGUUUUGCUAAAUUUUGUAUAUUGCUUAUCAAGAAAUGAGAAGAUUGAUAGUGUUAUUAGUCUUCUUUGUUUUGCUAAAUUUUGUAUAUUGUUAUCAAGAAAUGCAGAAGAUUGGUUUAGUGUUAUAGUGUUCUUGAUUUGCUAAAUUUUGUUAUAUUGUUAUCAAGAAAUGAGAAGAUAUGAUUUAGUUGUUAUUAGUGUUCUUCGUUAUGCAUAAUCUAAUCUCGUAUAUUGUUAUCAAGAAAUUGAGAAGAUUUGAUAGGGCUGUUAUUAAGUUCUUGUUUUGCCUAAAGUUUUGUAUAGUUGUUAUCAGAGAAUGAGAAGAUUUGAUAGUGUUAUUAGUGUGUCUUGUUUUGCUAAUAUGUUAUAUGUAUCAAUGUAAGUGAUAUUUAUAUUCUUCAUAUUUUAAUUUAAGAAAUGAGAAGGAUUGAUAGUGUUAUUAGGUUCUUUUUUGGCUAAAUUUGUAUAUUGUUCAAGAAAGGAGAAAUGAGAGUUAAGUGUUAUAGUGUUCGUUGUUUGCUAAAAUAUUGUUUAUAUUAUCAAGAAUGAGAAGAUGAUAGUGUUAUUAGUGUUCUUUUUGUUUAUGAAGCUAAAUUUUGACCUGACUUAGAUUUCUGAAAAUUGAAACAUUGGAUGGGAUAUUAUGCGCGUUCUGUUUCUCAAAAUGUUUGCUAUCUGAGAUACAACCAACAUAGCAUGAGACGUUCGAUAUUUGAUUAUGAUGGCUUCAAGUGCUUUUCUACACCUGUACUGCCGUUGUAUCAAAAUGUUGAUAUUUGUGCGUACGUGCUUUUUGUACAUUGUAAAAGAGGGAAGUUGAUAAGUGUUAUUUCUUGGUUUCUUGUUUGCAUAACUUAUAUGUUAUAUUGUUAUCAAGAGAAAUGGUAGAUUGAUAGGUGUUAUUAUUGUGUUUGUUUUGGCUAUAAUUUUGUAUAUUAAUUAUUCAAGAAAUGAGAAGAUUGAUAGUGUUAUUACGUUUCUUCUUGUUGUAAAAUGUUUGUAUUUGACUAUCAAGAAAUGAGAAGGAUUGAUGAGUGUAUUAGUUAUGUUCUUGUUUGUUCUUAAAUUUUGAUAUUGUUAUCGAUGAGAAAAUGUUAGAAGAUUGAUAGUGUUAUUAGUUUUCUUGUUUUUAAUCAAAUAAAUUUGCUAUAUUGUUCAUCAAGAAUAGAACGUAUAGUGUUAUACGCUGUCUUUGCAUUCUAACUUAAAAUGGUAAUAUUCGUCACUCAAGAGGGAAUGCAGAUUCGAUGUGUUUUAGAUGUUCUGUUUCUGUAAAUUUGUAUAUUGUUAUCAAGAACAUGAGAAGAUUGAGGUAGUGUUAUUAGUUAUGUUCUUUUUCUAAAUUUGUAUAUUGUUAUCAAGAAAUGAGAGAUUGAUAGUGUUAUUAGUUUCUUUUUUGCUAAUUUUGUAUAUUGUUAUCAAGAAAUGAGAAGAUUGAUAGUGGUUAUUAGUGUUCUUGUUUUGCUAAAUUUGUAUAUGUUAUCAAGAAUGAAGAAGAUUGAUAGUGUUAUUAGUCUUCUUGUUUUGCUAAAUUUUUGUAUAUUGUAUCAAGAAAUGAGAAGAUUGAUAGUGUAUUAGUGUUCUUGUUUGCCUAAAUUUUGUAUAUUGAUAUCAAGAAAUGGAGUAUUGAUACGUGUUAUUAGUGUUCUUGUUUUGCUAAAUUUUUUAUAUUGUUACAAGAAAUGAGAGAUUGAUAGUGUUAUUGUGUUCUUUUGCUAAAUUUUGUAUAUUGUUAUCAAGAAAUGAGAAGAUGAUAGUGUUAUUAGUGUUCUUGUUUUCUAAUUUGUAUUAUUGUAUCAAGAAAUGAGAAGAUUGAUAGUGUUAUUAGUGUUCUUGUUUGAAAUUUUGUAUAUUGGUUAUCAAGAAAUGAGAAGAUUGUAUGAUUAGUGUUCUUGUUCUCAGUAAAAUUUUGGUUAUGUAUAUCAAGAAAUUGAGAAGGCAUGGAAUAGUGUUAUUAUGGUCUUAGGCCUAAAUUUGUAUAUGAUCAAGACAAUUAGGACAUUGAUGCAUGAGUGUUCAUUUCGGCUUUCCUUUGCAUAGAACUUUCCGUAGUCUUGUCUGUAUCAAGAAUGAGCAAAGGAUGAUAGUGUUUUAUUAUUUCUUGUUUUGCUAGUAUGUAUAUUGUUAUCAAGAAAUGAGAGGAUUGAUAGUGCUAUUAGUGGUUCUUGUUUUGCUAAAUUUUGUAUUAGUUAUCAAGAAAUGAGAAGAUUGAUAGUGUUAUUAUGUUUCUUGUUUGCUAAAUUUUGUGUAUAUUGUUAUCAAGAAAUAGAAGGUUAUUGAUAGUGUUAUAGUGUUCUUUGUUUUGCUAAUUUUGUAUUGUUAUCAAGAAAUGAGAGAAGUGAUUAGUGUUAUUAGUGUUUCUUGUUUUGCUGAAAUUUAGUAUUAUUUGUUUAUUCAAGAAACUGAGAGAUUGAUAGUGUUAUUUAGUGUUCAUUGUUUUGCUAAAAUUUGUAUCAUUGUUAUCAAGAAAUGAGAAGAUUUGAUAGUGUUUUAGUGUUCUUGUUUUGCUAAUUUUGUAUUUGUUAUACAAGAAAUGAGAAGGAUUGAUAUUGUUUAUUAGUUCUUGUUUUGCUAAAUUUUGGUAUAUUUUAUCAAGAAAUGAGGAAGAUUGUAGUGUUAUUAGUGUUCUUGUUUUGCUAAAUUUGUUUAUAUUGUUAUCAAAGAAUGAGAAGAUGAUAGGUUUAUUAGUGUUCUUGUUUGCUAAAUUUGUAUAUUGUUAUAUAACAAAGAGAAGAUUGAUAGUGUUAUUAGUGUUUCUUGUUUUUGCUUUUAAAAUUUUGUUAUUUCUUGUUAUUCAAGGAAAUGAGAAGAUUUGAUAAGUGUUAUUAGUUGUUUCUUGUUUCUAAAUUUUGUUUAUGUUAUCAAUUUUGUAUAUUAUUAUCAAGAAAUGAGAAGAUUGAUAGUGUUAUUAGUGUUCUUGUUUUGCUAAAUUUUGUAAAUUGUUAUCAAGAAAUGAGAAGAUUGAUAGUGUUAUUAGUGUUCUUGUUUUGAAAAAUUUUGUAUAUUGUUAUCAAGAAAUGAGAAGAUUGAUAGUGUUAUUAGUGUUCUUGUUUUACUAAAUUUUGUAUAUUGUUAUCAAGAAAUGAGAAGAUUGAUCGUGUUAUUAGUGUUCUUGUUUUGCUAAAUUUUGUAUAUUGUUAUCAAGAAAUGAGAAGAUUGAUAGUGUUAUUAGUGUUCUUGUUUUGCUAAAAAUUUUAUAUUGUUAUCAAGAAAUAAGAAGAUUGAUAGUGUUAUUUGUGUUCUUGUUUUGCUAAAUUUUGUAUAUUGUUAUCAAGAAAUGAGAAGAUUGAUAGUGUGAUUAGUGUUCUUGUUUUGGUAAAUUUUGAAUAUUGUUAUCAAGAAAUGAUAAGGUUGAUAGUGUUAUUAGUGUUCUUGUUUUGCUAAAUAUUGAAUAUUGUUAUCAAGAAAUGAGAAGAUUGAUAGUGUUAUUAGUGUUCUUGUUAUCAAGAAACGAAUUUUGUAUAUUGUUAUCGAGAAAUGAGAAGAUUGAUAUUUUAUAGUGUUCUUGUUUGCUAAAUUUUGUAUAUUGUUAAUCAAGAAUGAAAGAUGAUAGUGUUUAUUAAGUGUUCUUUUUUUUCUAAUUUUGUAUAUUUUUAUCAAGAAAUGAGAAGAUGAUAGUGUUAUUAAUGUUCUUGUUGCUAAAUUUGUAUUUUAUUAUCAAGAAAUGAGAAGAUUGCCUAGUGUAUUAAGUGUUCUGUUACUAAAUUUUGUAAUAUUGUUAUCAAGACAAUGAGAAGAAUUGAUAGUGUUAUUAUGUUCUUGUUUUGGCUAAAUUUUGUAUAUUGUUUAUGCAGAAAUGAGUGAUUGAUAGUGUUAUUAGUGUUUCUUGCGUUUUUGCUAAAUUUUGUUUAUUGUUAUCGAAAAAAAUGGGAAAGAAAGAUUUGAUAGAAAUUUAAGUCUUGUUUUCUAAAAAAAGUUUUUAUUUGUUAUCAGAUUAAAGAGAUUGGGAAGUGUUAUUAUUUCUUGUUUUGGCUAAAAUUUUGUAUAUUGUUUCAAGAAAUAGAAGAUUGAUAAGUGUUAUUAGUGUUCUUGUUUUGCUAAAAUUUUGUAUAUUGUUUAUCAAGAAAUGAGAAGAUUGAUAGGUUAUUAGUGUUCUGUUGUUUUUUACUAAUAUUUAGUAUAGUUGUUAUGCAAAAGAAAUGAGAAGAUUGAAGUGUUAUUAGUCUUCUUGUUUUGCUAAUUUGUAUAUUGUUAUCAAGAAAUGAGAAGAUUGAUAGUGUUAUUAGUGUCUCUUGUUUUGCUAAAUUUUGUAUAUUGUUAUUAUCAGAAACUGAGUAAGAUUGAUAGUGUUAUUAUUUCUGUUUUGCUAAUUAAUGUAUAUUGUUAUCAAGAAAUGAGAAGAUUGAUAUUGGUUAUUAGUGUUCUUGUUUGCGAAUUUUGUAUAUUGUUAUUAGAAAUGAGAGAUUGAAAUAGUGCUUAUUUGUGUUCUUGUUUGCUAAUUUUGUAUUAAUUGUUUAUCAAGAAAUGAGAGAUUGAUAGUGUUAUUAGUGUUCUUGUUUUCUAAAUUUUGUAUAUUGUUAAUCAAGAAAUGAGAAGAUUGAUAGUGUUAUUAGUGUUUAUUGUUUUGCUAAAAUUUUGUAUAAUUGUUAUCAAGAAAUAAGAAGAUGAUAGUGUUUAUUAGUGGUUUUCUUGUUUUGCUAAAUUUUUGUAUAUUGUUAUCAAAGAAAUGAGAAAUGAUUUUGGAUAGUGUUUAUUAGUGUUCUUGCUUUUGCCUAAGUUCUUAUAUGAAUUGUUUUAUCAGAAAUGAGAAAGAUUGAACAAGGGUUAAUUAAGUUCAUGUUUUGCUAAAUUUUGUAUAGUUGUUAUCAGAUGAGAAGACUUGAUAGUUGUUAUUAGUGUUCCUUGUUUUGCUAAAUUUUUGAUAUAUUGUUAUCAGAAAUGAAGAAGAUUGUAGUGUUUAUUAGUGUUCUGGUUUUGCUAAAUUUGUUUUAUUGUUUAUCAGAAAUGAGAAAAAGAUUGAUAAGUGUUAUUAGUGUUCUGUUUUGCUAAAUUUUGUAUAUUUUUAUCAAGAAAUGAGAAGAUUGAUAGUGUUAUUAGUGUUCUUGUUUUGCUAAAUUUUGUAUAUUGUUAUCAAGAAAUGAGAAGAUUGAUAGUGUUAUUAGUGUUCUUGUUUUGCUAAAUUUUGUAUAUUGUUAUCAAGAAAUGAGAAGAUUGAUAGUGUUAUUAGUGUUCUUGUUUUGCUAAAUUUUGUAUAUUGUUAUCAAGAAAUGAGAAGAUUGAUAGUGUUAUUAGUGUUCUUGUUUUGCUAAAUUUUGUAUAUUGUUAUCAAGAAAUGAGAAGAUUGAUAGUGUUAUUAGUGUUCUUGUUUUGCUAAAUUUUGUAUAUUGUUAUCAAGAAAUGAGAAGAUUGAUAGUGUUAUUAGUGUUCUUGUUUUGCUAAAUUUUGUAUAUUGUUAUCAAGAAAUGAGAAGAUUGAUAGUGUUAUUAGUGUUCUUGUUUUGCUAAAUUUUGUAUAUUGUUAUCAAGAAAUGAGAAGAUUGAUAGUGUUAUUAGUGUUCUUGUUUUGCUAAAUUUUGUAUAUUGUUAUCAAGAAAUGAGAAGAUUGAUAGUGUUAUUAGUGUUCUUGUUUUGCUAAAUUUUGUAUAUUGUUAUCAAGAAAUGAGAAGAUUGAUAGUGUUAUUAGUGUUCUUGUUUUGCUAAAUUUUGUAUAUUGUUAUCAAGAAAUGAGAAGAUUGAUAGUGUUAUUAGUGUUCUUGUUUUGCUAAAUUUUGUAUAUUGUUAUCAAGAAAUGAGAAGAUUGAUAGUGUUAUUAGUGUUCUUGUUUUGCUAAAUUUUGUAUAUUGUUAUCAAGAAAUGAGAAGAUUGAUAGUGUUAUUAGUGUUCUUGUUUUGCUAAAUUUUGUAUAUUGUUAUCAAGAAAUGAGAAGAUUGAUAGUGUUAUUAGUGUUCUUGUUUUGCUAAAUUUUGUAUAUUGUUAUCAAGAAAUGAGAAGAUUGGUAGUGUUAUUAGUGUUCUUGUUUUGCUAAAUUUUGUAUAUUGUUAUCAAGAAAUGAGAAGAUUGAUAGUGUUAUUAGUGUUCUUGUUUUGCUAAAUUUUGUAUAUUGUUAUCAAGAAAUGAGAAGAUUGAUAGUGUUAUUAGUGUUCUUGUUUUGCUAAAUUUUGUAUAUUGUUAUCAAGAAAUGAGAAGAUUGAUAGUGUUAUUAGUGUUCUUGUUUUGCUAAAUUUUGUAUAUUGUUAUCAAGAAAUGAGAAGAUUGAUAGUGUUAUUAGUGUUCUUGUUUUGCUAAAUUUUGUAUAUUGUUAUCAAGAAAUGAGAAGAUUGAUAGUGUUAUUAGUGUUCUUGUUUUGCUAAAUUUUGUAUAUUGUUAUCAAGAAAUGAGAAGAUUGAUAGUGUUAUUAGUGUUCUUGUUUUGCUAAAUUUUGUAUAUUGUUAUCAAGAAAUGAGAAGAUUGAUAGUGUUAUUAGUGUUCUUGUUUUGCUAAAUUUUGUAUAUUGUUAUCAAGAAAUGAGAAGAUUGAUAGUGUUAUUAGUGUUCUUGUUUUGCUAAAUUUUGUAUAUUGUUAUCAAGAAAUGAGAAGAUUGAUAGUGUUAUUAGUGUUCUUGUUUUGCUAAAUUUUGUAUAUUGUUAUCAAGAAAUGAGAAGAUUGAUAGUGUUAUUAGUGUUCUUGUUUUGCUAAAUUUUGUAUAUUGUUAUCAAGAAAUGAGAAGAUUGAUAGUGUUAUUAGUGUUCUUGUUUUGCUAAAUUUUGUAUAUUGUUAUCAAGAAAUGAGAAGAUUGAUAGUGUUAUUAGUGUUCUUGUUUUGCUAAAUUUUGUAUAUUAUUAUCAAGAAAUAAGAAGAUUGAUAGGGUUAUUAGUGUUCUUGUUUUGCUAAAUUUUGUAUAUUGUUAUCAAGAAAUGAGAAAAUUGAUAGUGUUAUUAGUGUUCUUGUUUUGCUAAAUUUUUUUUAUUGUUAUCAAGAAAUGAGAAGAUUGAUAGUUUUAUUUGUGUUCUUGUUUUGCUAAAUUUUGUAUAUUGUUAUCAAGAAAUGAGAAGAUUGAUAGUGUUAUUAGUGUUCUUAGUGUUCUUAAUUUUGUAUAUUGUUAUCAAGAAAUAGGAAGGUUGAUAGUGUUAUUAGUGUUCUUGUUUUGCUUAAUUUUGUAUAUUGUUAUCAAGAAAUGAGAAGAUUGAUAGUGUUAUUUGUGUGCUUGUUAUUAAGAAACGUUUGACGCUGACCCUUUAGCAAAAUCUCUCAAAAAUGAAAGGCAUUGCCAUGGGGAAUUCUCCAUGGCUUCUAUUUAGUCAAAUAAGAAUAUGGAAUAUCACAACC
Molecule: long non-coding RNA, 27513 nt
Filed under: Lathyrus oleraceus (garden pea)
Lineage: Eukaryota; Viridiplantae; Streptophyta; Magnoliopsida; Fabales; Fabaceae
Description: Pisum sativum (pea) long non-coding RNA (PSAT_LNC040001)
Source: RNAcentral